Long non-coding RNA from Bos taurus (domestic cattle), 682 nucleotides. The record is from Ensembl. Lineage: Eukaryota; Metazoa; Chordata; Mammalia; Artiodactyla; Bovidae.
CUGAUAGUCUUCUCUGAGGGUACCAAUCAAAGGUCAAGACCUUUUUCACAACAUCACUGAUCUUCCUUGAAAAUCCAUGGAGAGUGGAUAGAUCAGAUAGUGGAGUGGUAACUGAAGAAAUAAAGAGGAAGUUGCUCAGGACAGAAGAUAAAAACAUGAGACAAAGGAAACAAACUGCUCUUGGAUAGGGUGCUUCUGAGGCUGGGAUUCUUCCCAGGGAAGACCACGCUGCGGAUCUACUGCUGCAUAAGGAGCCAUGCCAAAAGAUCCAGCUCCCUGACCAGGGAUUGAACUUGGGGCCCCUGCGUUGGAAGCAUCGAGUCCCAGCCUCUGGACAACCAGGGAAGUCCCUACAGCUCCAUUUUCAAUCAAGAACACUGAGGCUCAGUGGAGAGGUCCUGGUAAGGAACAAGGAACUAAUAAGCCACCACCAACCAGAAGAGUUCAGGAAAUGUCAAAAGGAGACACCACAUGUCCGACCACCUCCCAGAAUCCUCACUGGCAUCCAUCUUGGCUGAACAAGGUGUGCACCACCAGGAGGGAGUCUUAGUCAGAAUGACUGGAUAAAGACAACCCAGAAACUAAUCCCAUCACCAUAAAACCAAGACUGCAGCCAUGUGGCAGAGCAGUUCUCCUGUGUUCCCUUGCCCUACUGCUCUCCACCCAGGCACCCUUUCCCAAU